Molecule: ribosomal RNA, 425 nt
Filed under: uncultured bacterium
Lineage: Bacteria
Description: partial 16S ribosomal RNA
Rfam family: Bacterial small subunit ribosomal RNA
Source: RNAcentral
GUGGGGAAUCUUGCGCAAUGGGCGAAAGCCUGACGCAGCCAUGCCGCGUGAAUGAUGAAGGUCUUAGGAUUGUAAAAUUCUUUCACCGGGGACGAUAAUGACGGUACCCGGAGAAGAAGCUCCGGCUAACUUCGUGCCAGCAGCCGCGGUAAUACGAAGGGGGCUAGCGUUGCUCGGAAUUACUGGGCGUAAAGGGCGCGUAGGCGGACAGCUUAGUCAGAGGUGAAAGCCCAGGGCUCAACCUUGGAAUUGCCUUUGAUACUGGCUGUCUUGAGUGUGGGAGAGGUGAGUGGAACUCCGAGUGUAGAGGUGAAAUUCGUAGAUAUUCGGAAGAACACCAGUGGCGAAGGCGACUCACUGGCCCAAUACUGACGCUGAGGCGCGAAAGCGUGGGGAGCAAACAGGAUUAGAAACCCGUGUAGUCC